GCGCCUGUAGCUCAGUUGGAUAGAGCGUUGGUCUACGAAACCAAAGGUCAUGGGUUCGAGUCCCGUCAGGCGCG
This 74-nucleotide transfer RNA is filed under the name Actinobacteria bacterium RBG_16_64_13. RNAcentral's name for it is "tRNA-Arg". It matches the Rfam family "tRNA". From Rfam's summary of the family: Transfer RNA (tRNA) molecules are approximately 80 nucleotides in length. Their secondary structure includes four short double-helical elements and three loops (D, anti-codon, and T loops). Further hydrogen bonds mediate the characteristic L-shaped molecular structure. tRNAs have two regions of fundamental functional importance: the anti-codon, which is responsible for specific mRNA codon recognition, and the 3' end, to which the tRNAs corresponding amino acid is attached (by aminoacyl-tRNA synthetases). tRNAs cope with the degeneracy of the genetic code in two manners: having more than one tRNA (with a specific anti-codon) for a particular amino acid; and 'wobble' base-pairing, i.e. permitting non-standard base-pairing at the 3rd anti-codon position. Lineage: Bacteria; Bacillati; Actinomycetota. The record is from RNAcentral.